AGAGUUUGAUCCUGGCUCAGGAUGAACGCUAGCUACAGGCUUAACACAUGCAAGUCGAGGGGAAACGACAUCGAAAGCUUGCUUUUGAUGGGCGUCGACCGGCGCACGGGUGAGUAACGCGUAUCCAACCUGCCCACCACUUGGGGAUAACCUUGCGAAAGUAAGACUAAUACCCAAUGACGUCUCUAGAAGACACCUGAAGGAGAUUAAAGAUUUAUCGGUGAUGGAUGGGGAUGCGUCUGAUUAGCUUGUUGGCGGGGUAACGGCCACCGAAGGCGACGAUCAGUAGGGGUUCUGAGGAGGAAGGUCCCCCACAUUGGAACUGAGACACGGUCCAAACUCCUACGGGAGGCA
Molecule: ribosomal RNA, 354 nt
Filed under: uncultured bacterium
Lineage: Bacteria
Description: bacterial SSU rRNA
Rfam family: Bacterial small subunit ribosomal RNA
Source: RNAcentral